This 620-nucleotide ribosomal RNA is filed under the name uncultured bacterium. RNAcentral describes it as "bacterial SSU rRNA". It matches the Rfam family "Bacterial small subunit ribosomal RNA", at positions 125 to 731 of the family's 1533-position model. The record is from RNAcentral.
CCUGCCCCUAAGUCUGGGAUACCAUUUGGAAACAGGUGCUAAUACCGGAUAAUAAAGCAGAUCGCAUGAUCAGCUUUUGAAAGGCGGCGUAAGCUGUCGCUAAGGGAUGGCCCCGCGGUGCAUUAGCUAGUUGGUAAGGUAACGGCUUACCAAGGCGACGAUGCAUAGCCGAGUUGAGAGACUGAUCGGCCACAUUGGGACUGAGACACGGCCCAAACUCCUACGGGAGGCAGCAGUAGGGAAUCUUCCACAAUGGACGCAAGUCUGAUGGAGCAACGCCGCGUGAGUGAAGAAGGUUUUCGGAUCGUAAAGCUCUGUUGUUGGUGAAGAAGGAUAGAGGUAGUAACUGGCCUUUAUUUGACGGUAAUCAACCAGAAAGUCACGGCUAACUACGUGCCAGCAGCCGCGGUAAUACGUAGGUGGCAAGCGUUGUCCGGAUUUAUUGGGCGUAAAGCGAGCGCAGGCGGAAAAAUAAGUCUAAUGUGAAAGCCCUCGGCUUAACCGAGGAAUUGCAUCGGAAACUGUUUUUCUUGAGUGCAGAAGAGGAAAGUGGAACUCCAUGUGUAGCGGUGGAAUGCGUAGAUAUAUGGAAGAACACCAGUGGCGAAGGCGGCUCUCUG